This 1294-nucleotide long non-coding RNA is filed under the name Ornithorhynchus anatinus (platypus). RNAcentral describes it as "lncRNA (ENSOANG00000042068.1)". The record is from RNAcentral. Lineage: Eukaryota; Metazoa; Chordata; Mammalia; Monotremata; Ornithorhynchidae.
CCCCCCACCCCGCCCCCCGAAGCGUGUGCCCAGACCCUACCUGGGCUGAGCAGGAAGGCGCCAAGCAGGAGCAGACCGAGCUCCAAAGGUUUCAUUCCUGAGCGUGGACGGAGGAGGGCGAGCAACUUGGCGUCCAGUUGGUGGUUCCUUCGCCCCCGGGGUCUCCCCCGUUGCCUUUCCUGCCCGUCCCUCGGUCCGUCCGUCUGUCCGGCCGGGACCCUGCCCCCUGCCCUCCUUGCCCACCCCCCACCGCCCCCAAUCCUCCUCGCUCCCUUUCUAAUAUUGGGGUCCGGCUGGGACGGGGCGGCGGGGAUUCAGCGCCCACGGCAAGCCCGGCGUCUCGGAGACCAACUCACUUCUCGCAGACCCGUCCAUCCCCCAAGCUCCCUCGACAUCGCAGACACACAUACACACACACACACAUGCACAACACACACACACACAAUACACACACACACCGCGUCCUCGGGCGGCUCCUCUCCGGGCGGGAGAUAGGCGAGGCGAUCCGGUCGCCGGCGGGGAGGAGGAGGAGGAGGGAGGGAGGAGGAGGAGGGAGGGAGGAAGAGGAGGAGGAAUGGAGGAGGAGGAGGAGGAGGAGGAGGAAGGGAGGAGGAGGAGGAAGAGGAGGGAAGAGGGAAGAGGGAGGGGAGAGGGGAGGAGCGAGGGGGGAGGGGGGAGGAGCAAGGAGGGAGGGGCAUCAGCAUCCAAGAGGCCCUAAGCUCUCAACACCUCCCCCUCCCCUCCUCGUCCCGUCCCCCCACCCCCAAAUCCGAGGGGUGAGGGAAGGGUGCGGGGAGGGGGCUGAUCUUCUUUUGUCUCCCAACAGGAGGACGGACCCCUCGACUGCCGCCUCUGCAUUGGACACCCACGAGUCACAGAAAGUGAUCAAUUAAGUCCACUGAUUAACUGAUUGACUGAAGGCUCUUGGGGUGUCGAGAAUUGCAGUGCAUGCCAAGGCAACCUCCUGCUGGGUCCUGGUGCCACAGCCCAGUGGUGACUGGGCUGGGUCACCUGGAUCACUGGUAAGUCCUGUACAUAAAACCCCUGCGUGUGGCUUUUUGUAGGAUGCUGCACCUUCACCCUUCUUCUUAAUCGUGGCACUUAGUGCCCGGGAGGUGGGGGUGGGGGGCGGGACACGACAGGGAGAGAUCAGAGAGUGUGAAUUGUGCAAACCACUGGUACUAGAAUCAACUCACAGGUUCUCGAUCUUGAAGUUGUCACAAUGAAGCUCAUCGGUCACUCUCGAUAGGAGGCCAUUAAAACUACAAGCUCUUUGAGGGCAGGGAUUAUGUCU